GCGGAUGUGGCGGAAUUGGCAGACGCGCAGGCUUCAGGUGCCUGUGCCCCUCGGGGCGUGGAGGUUCGACUCCUCUCAUCCGCA
RNAcentral lists this transfer RNA (84 nucleotides) under Planctomycetota bacterium. RNAcentral's name for it is "tRNA-Leu". It matches the Rfam family "tRNA". From Rfam's summary of the family: Transfer RNA (tRNA) molecules are approximately 80 nucleotides in length. Their secondary structure includes four short double-helical elements and three loops (D, anti-codon, and T loops). Lineage: Bacteria; Pseudomonadati; Planctomycetota. The record is from RNAcentral. RNAcentral also lists the same sequence under 4 other names.